Molecule: long non-coding RNA, 688 nt
Organism: Neogale vison (American mink)
Lineage: Eukaryota; Metazoa; Chordata; Mammalia; Carnivora; Mustelidae
Source: Ensembl
UACCUGUCCAAAUAGGACUCUCAGUACCCACCUCCUAAAGUUUUUGUGAAUAUUAAAAGAGAUAUGCUAUGUAAAGUGCUUGACAUAGUUCCUAGGAUGUUGUAAAUCCUCGACAUAUUACAGACUAACGUUGUCUUUUUUUCUGUUAUAGGUAGCUAUGUGACAUGAAAAAUGCAGCAAGUUAUCGAAAGGGCAAAAGGGGAUUUUAAGAAGCAGCAGAGAAGCAUCUAGAAUACCGGUUCUGGUGUGAGAGCUGGAUUCCACUUCCGCCCGUGUGGCUUGACCUCAUCAAGCUUCAGCUUCUUCAUCUGUUAAACGGAAGCCACAGUCCUCAUCAUCAAUGAGAACUUCCAAAAUGCCAGGUACCGUGCCAGGGGCAUCGCACAGAUUAGCUCAUUUAUUCUAGCACAGUAACCCUCUGGCUGAAAUUCUGUUUUGAUCUCUUUGUUGUAGCUGAGGAUGGGCACAGAGGUGUAGGCAGUUGGACCGAAGUCACACGACUUGUGCGACAGUAACUUCAUCAUAGGUACGUGGGCAGUACCUUCACCAAAAAGUGUGCUAGGUGCUUCGUAAGGUCCCUGACACGUACUUGGUGCUCAGUUAAAGCCACCCACUGCUGUUUUUGUUGUUUUUAAUUAUUUACUAGGAUUAUUAUACCUUGUUAGUUUGAAUGACAUAAUGACAAUGA